Molecule: ribosomal RNA, 253 nt
Filed under: uncultured bacterium
Lineage: Bacteria
Description: partial 16S ribosomal RNA
Rfam family: Bacterial small subunit ribosomal RNA
Source: RNAcentral
UACGGGGGGGGCAAGCGUUGUUCGGAAUUACUGGGCGUAAAGGGCUCGUAGGUGGCCAACUAAGUCAGACGUGAAAUCCCUCGGCUUAACCGGGGAACUGCGUCUGAUACUGGAUGGCUUGAGUUUGGGAGAGGGAUGCGGAAUUCCAGGUGUAGCGGUGAAAUGCGUAGAUAUCAGGAGGAACACCGGUGGUGUAGACGGCUCUCUGGACCGUAACUGACGCUGAGACACGAAAGCGUGGGUAGCAAACAGG